This 498-nucleotide ribosomal RNA is filed under the name bacterium enrichment culture clone 2_74. Its description in RNAcentral is "bacterial SSU rRNA". It matches the Rfam family "Bacterial small subunit ribosomal RNA", at positions 1005 to 1507 of the family's 1533-position model. The record is from RNAcentral.
GAUGGAGGGGUGCCCGAAAGGGAACCUGGACACAGGUGCUGCAUGGCUGUCGUCAGCUCGUGUCGUGAGAUGUUGGGUUAAGUCCCGCAACGAGCGCAACCCUUAUCCUUAGUUGCUACGCAAGGGCACUCUAGGGAGACUGCCGGUGACAAACCGGAGGAAGGUGGGGAUGACGUCAAGUCCUCAUGGCCCUUAUGUGUAGGGCUUCACACGUCAUACAAUGGUCGGUACAGAGGGUCGCCAACCCGCGAGGGGGAGCCAAUCCCAGAAAACCGAUCGUAGUCCGGAUUGCAGUCUGCAACUCGACUGCAUGAAGUCGGAAUCGCUAGUAAUCGCGGAUCAGCAUGUCGCGAUGAAUACGUUCCCGGGUCUUGUACACACCGCCCGUCACACCAUGGGAGUGGGUUCUACCAGAAGUAGGUAGCCUAACCGCAAGGAGGGCGCUUACCACGGUAGGGCUCAUGACUGGGGUGAAGUCGUAACAAGGUAGCCGAAGGG